UAGCUAGUUGGUGAGGUAAAGGCUUACCAAGGCGACGAUCUGUAGCGGGUCUGAGAGGAUGAUCCGCCACACUGGAACUGAGACACGGUCCAGACUCCUACGGGAGGCAGCAGUGGGGAAUUUUGGACAAUGGGGGCAACCCUGAUCCAGCCAUGCCGCGUGAGUGAAGAAGGCCUUCGGGUUGUAAAGCUCUUUCGGCCGGGAAGAAAUCGCAUGGGCCAAUACCCUGUGUGGAUGACGGUACCGGAAUAAGAAGCACCGGCUAACUACGUGCCAGCAGCCGCGGUAAUACGUAGGGUGCGAGCGUUAAUCGGAAUUACUGGGCGUAAAGCGUGCGCAGGCGGUUUUGUAAGACAGGCGUGAAAUCCCCGGGCUUAACCUGGGAACUGCGUUUGUGACUGCAAGGCUAGAGUACGGCAGAGGGGGGUGGAAUUCCACGUGUAGCAGUGAAAUGCGUAGAGAUGUGGAGGAACACCAAUGGCGAAGGCAGCCCCCUGGGUCGAUACUGACGCUCAUGCACGAAAGCGUGGGUAGCAAACAGGAUUAGAUACCCUGGUAGUCCACGCCCUAAACUAUGUCAACUAGGUGUUGGGUGGGUAAAACCAUUUAGUACCGUAGCUAACGCGUGAAGUUGACCGCCUGGGGAGUACGGCCGCAAGGUUAAAACUCAAAGGAAUUGACGGGGACCCGCACAAGCGGUGGAUGAUGUGGAUUAAUUCGAUGCAACGCGAAAAACCUUACCUACCCUUGACAUGCCAGGAACUUGCCAGAGAUGGCUUGGUGCCCGAAAGGGAGCCUGGACACAGGUGCUGCAUGGCUGUCGUCAGCUCGUGUCGUGAGAUGUUGGGUUAAGUCCCGCAACGAGCGCAACCCUUGUCGUUAAUUGCCAUCAUUUAGUUGGGCACUUUAACGAGACUGCCGGUGACAAACCGGAGGAAGGUGGGGAUGACGUCAAGUCCUCAUGGCCCUUAUGGGUAGGGCUUCACACGUCAUACAAUGGUCGGUACAAAGGGUUGCCAAGCCGCGAGGCGGAGCCAAUCCCAGAAAGCCGAUCGUAGUCCGGAUUGCAGGCUGCGACUCGCCUGCAUGAAGUCGGAAUCGCUAGUAAUCGUGGAUCAGCAUGUCACGGUGAAUACGUUCCCGGGUCUUGUACACACCGCCCGUCACACCAUGGGAGCGGGUUCCGCCAGAAGUAGGUAGCCUAACCGCAAGGGGGGCGCUUACCACGGCGGGGUUCGUGACUGGGGUGAAGUCGUAACAAGGUAGCCGUAGGGGAACCUGCGGCUG
RNAcentral lists this ribosomal RNA (1287 nucleotides) under metagenome. RNAcentral's name for it is "bacterial SSU rRNA". It matches the Rfam family "Bacterial small subunit ribosomal RNA", at positions 242 to 1520 of the family's 1533-position model. The record is from RNAcentral.